GUGAAGAUCCUUUCUUUCUUUGGUUACUUUUUCUUUAUAAGUAAUGUACUUGUACUAGUUGACUUUCAGAUGACGGAGGAUGAGAAAUGAUGUUUGUAUAACUUUUUAUUCUAUAUAUGUAUAUCGUUUGUACAGAAAUCACGUCUUCCUUUAUCAUUUUGCUUUACUUUACAUUACGUAGUAUAGUAAGCAAAUUCAUUUGGUAAGCAUCCAAGUUAUUAUAUCAUUUGGAUUCGGUAAAGGGUG
RNAcentral lists this long non-coding RNA (246 nucleotides) under Daucus carota (carrot). RNAcentral's name for it is "long non-coding RNA (DCAR_LNC005337)". The record is from RNAcentral. Lineage: Eukaryota; Viridiplantae; Streptophyta; Magnoliopsida; Apiales; Apiaceae.